GUGCUCACUUAGGCAUCACAAAUACUAAAAUUGUAAUGAUACAGAGAAGAUUAGCAUGGUCCCUGUGCAAGGAUGACAUGCAAAUUCGUGACGCAUUCAUAUUUUUA
Small nuclear RNA from Meriones unguiculatus (Mongolian gerbil), 107 nucleotides. Lineage: Eukaryota; Metazoa; Chordata; Mammalia; Rodentia; Muridae. The record is from Ensembl.